GUCUUUGUGGUGUAGUGGUCAGCACGCUCGGUGCAUAUUCGAGAGGUCCGUGGUUCGAGUCCCGGCAAAGGCA
This 73-nucleotide transfer RNA is filed under the name Stegodyphus mimosarum. It matches the Rfam family "tRNA". From Rfam's summary of the family: Transfer RNA (tRNA) molecules are approximately 80 nucleotides in length. Their secondary structure includes four short double-helical elements and three loops (D, anti-codon, and T loops). The record is from Rfam by way of RNAcentral. Lineage: Eukaryota; Metazoa; Arthropoda; Arachnida; Araneae; Eresidae.